UGUGGGUGCAUAGCUCAGCUGGAUAGAGCAACGCCCUUCUAAGGCGUGUGUCCGGGGUUCGAAUCCCUGUGCGCUCACCACAUAUAUUGGGGAUUAGCCAAGUCGGUAAGGCACAUGACUUUGACUCAUGUAUGCGUAGGUUCGAGUCCUGCAUCCCCAGCCAAAUGAUGUAUUACUAAGCUAUAUUUGAAUUAUUUUUAUUUUAAAUAUAGUUAGGUUCAAUUUUAGAAUAAGUUUAAGUAUCCGAAUGUGGAGAGGUGUCCGAGUGGUUUAAGGAGCUGGUCUUGAAAACCAGUGACUUCGAAAGGGGCCGUGGGUUCGAAUCCCACCCUCUCCGCCAAAUGCCCAGAUAGCUCAGUCGGUAGAGCAGGGGACUGAAAAUCCCCGUGUCGGUGGUUCGAUUCCGCCUCUGGGCACCAAAAUAUGGCGGUAUAGCUUAGUUGGCUAGAGCGUUCGGUUCAUACCCGAAAGGUCAUAGGUUCGACUCCUAUUACCGCUACUAAAAUUUAAUGUGGGCCAUUAGCUCAGUUGGUUAGAGCGCCCGGCUCAUAACCGGUAGGUCUGGGGUUCGAGUCCCUGAUGGCCCACCACAUUAAAUUAAUUAAUAUAAAUUCGAGGUGUAGCGCAGUUUGGUAGCGCACAUGGUUUGGGACCAUGGGGCCGGGGGUUCGAGUCCCUUCACCUCGACCAAUAUAAGGUGGGUAUAGCUCAGUUGGUUAGAGCGCCAGAUUGUGGCUCUGGAGGUCGUGAGUUCGACUCUCAUUAUCCACCCCAAUUCAUAUGGUCUAUUAGCUCAGUCGGUAGAGCACCUGACUUUUAAUCAGGGUGUCCCGCGUUCGAGUCGCGGAUAGAUCACCAAAAAGGUGGCGACAUAGCCAAGUGGUAAGGCAGUGGACUGCAACUCCUUGAUCCCCAGUUCGAAUCUGGGUGUCGCCUCCAAAAUAUUCCAAGGUAGCUCAACGGUGGAGCAACCGGCUGUUAACCGGUAGGCUGUGGGUUCGAGCCCCACCCUUGGAGCCAAAAAAGCCGAAGUGGCGGAACUGGCAGACGCACAGGACUUAAAAUCCUGCGGGACUUACCUCUCGUACCGGUUCGAUUCCGGUCUUCGGCACUUAUAAAACAAUAUCGCGGAGUGGAGCAGUUGGCAGCUCGUCNNNNNNNNNNNCAGUACGGUCGGAAAUCGUACGUAGAGUGUAAAGGCAAAAGAGAGCUUGAUUGCAAGACAUACAGGUCGAGCAAGGAUGAAAAUCGGACUUAGUGAUCCGGUGGUUCUGCGUGGAAGGGCCAUCGCUCAACGGAUAAAAGCUACCCUGGGGAUAACAGGCUUAUCUCCCCCAAGAGUCCACAUCGACGGGGAGGUUUGGCACCUCGAUGUCGGCUCAUCACAUCCUGGGGCUGUAGUAGGUCCCAAGGGUUGGGCUGUUCGCCCAUUAAAGUGGUACGCGAGCUGGGUUCAGAACGUCGUGAGACAGUUCGGUCCCUAUCCGUCGCAGGCGUAGGAAAUUUGAGAAGACCUGUCCUUAGUACGAGAGGACCGGGAUGGACGUACCUCUGGUGUACCAGUUGUCCUGCCAAGGGCAUGGCUGGGUAGCUAUGUACGGAAUGGAUAAGCGCUGAAAGCAUCUAAGCGCGAAGCCAACUUCAAGAUAAGAUUUCCCACCGCAAGGGUAAGACCCCAGAAAGACUAUCUGGUUGAUAGGUCGAAGGUGUAAGUGCAGCAAUGUAUUUAGCUUAUCGAUACUAAUAGGUCGAGGACUUGACC
RNAcentral lists this ribosomal RNA (1762 nucleotides) under Clostridioides difficile. Its description in RNAcentral is "bacterial LSU rRNA". The stretch from base 996 to 1762 matches the Rfam family "Bacterial large subunit ribosomal RNA". Lineage: Bacteria; Bacillati; Bacillota; Clostridia; Peptostreptococcales; Peptostreptococcaceae. The record is from RNAcentral.